CCUGCCCAGUGAUUCACAUUCAACGGCCGCGGUAUCCUAACCGUGCAAAGGUAGCAUAAUCAUUUGCCCAUUAAUUGUGGGCUAGAAUGAACGGACCAACGAAAUAAAGACUGUCUCUAUAAGUCACCUAAAAAUUAAUCUCUAACUGAAGAGUGUUAGAUACCGUCGAAGGACAAGAAGACCCUAUAGAGCUUUAUUCCUAAAAAAAAAUUUUUUUUACGGAAUUCGGUUGGGGCGACCGAGGAAUUAACUAAUCAUCCUCUUUUAACAGAUAUAUAAAUCUCUACUUUGACCCUUAACAAAGAUCAUAAGACCAAGCUACCUUAGGGAUAACAGGCUAAUCCCACUAAAGAGUCCUUAUCAAUAGUGGGGCUUGGCACCUCGAUGUUGGCUUAGGGAACCUAUAUGACGCAAAAGUCAUAUAAAGAUGGUUUGUUCAACCAAUAACACCCUACAUGAGCUGAGUUCAGACCGGCGUAAGCCAGGUUAGUUUCUAUCCUCGAUAACACAACCUAUUUACAGUACGAAAGGACCUAAAUAAGAAUAAUAAUUAUAGUUAAAGAAUAAAUAUAAAACAAACUAAAUAAUCAAUUUACAUAAACUA
RNAcentral lists this ribosomal RNA (604 nucleotides) under Scherotheca aquitania. RNAcentral describes it as "partial large subunit ribosomal RNA". It matches the Rfam family "Bacterial large subunit ribosomal RNA", at positions 1858 to 2830 of the family's 2925-position model. Lineage: Eukaryota; Metazoa; Annelida; Clitellata; Crassiclitellata; Lumbricidae. The record is from RNAcentral.